This 2064-nucleotide unclassified non-coding RNA is filed under the name Leishmania donovani. RNAcentral describes it as "gene:LdHU3.25.2590(CDS-product:hypothetical_prote in_conserved)". Lineage: Eukaryota; Euglenozoa; Kinetoplastea; Trypanosomatida; Trypanosomatidae. The record is from RNAcentral.
UAGCGACAUCACACCCUCCCCAGCGGUCCCUCGCCGUGAUCGCCAACGCCACUGCUCCUGUGGUGGCCAGUAGCAACUGGGUCUCUCCUCUCCUCUUGCUAGCGCCCCUCUCCUGCCCCUCCCCCAUUCUCUUUUCCCUUCUCAAUCGGCGUCUAUUACGUUAAAGUCGUGUCUGUCUUCUUCCGUGUGCAGCACGUCACAGCUGCACGUCUUUGUUGUACAUCCCCCCACCACCACCACCCGCACACCCUUCCCUCUUAUCGCCUCUUGUACGCCUGUGGUGUGCGUUGCCGCUCCUUGAUUUUGUUUUAGUGCCCCCUUCCCCCCUUGUCUCACCACGCCAUUUUCUCUUUCCGUCUGGCCACCUGUGCUUUCUGCCACUGCGUCGUCUUCUGUAUGUAUGUGUGUUGACCGCUGAACCUCCCCCUUCCUCUCCUCUUACGCACUGUGUCUCGCGGCUGCUUUUAUCCUCUGUGGCAGUUGCCCCUCCGCCCUCGUGAAGCUCCGCUCGCGUCCUCCUUGCCCGAAUUAUUCUGAACUCUCUUCGUUUCUCGCUCGCUCCCCUCAUCGCCCCCUCUCCGAACCCCCUUCGUUGCGCCGCGGCAAAAAUGCAGUCCAUCAUCGUGAACCUUCUCUCGGACAUCUUCACAGUCCAGCGCGACACCUUUCUCGGUCGCCUGAUGCCAUGGUUCGCCGGCGGCAUCGUCGCCUUCGUUGCCUUCCCGUGGGUGAUGAUGGUGUUGUAUGGGCUGUACUUUGGCAUCUUCCUGCGGCCGAAGGAGCAGGCCGCCAUGUCGCUCUCGCCGCUCCUCACGUUCUUGUACUUUCUAACGGACGAGGCCACGCCAGGCUUCGACCAGCGCCUCAUGCGGCUGUUCCACCCGAGUCUGCUGGAGGAGGAGAAGGACGGCGGCUCUGUGCAGCGUGGCCUCAUACGGGCCAUGUCGCGCUGCCUCAUCGACAAGUUCGGGAAGGUGGCCAACAUACCCCGCGACACGGUGGUGUUGAAGCGCGAGGGCAACGACGUGAACUGCAUGGCCCUCGUCGACUUUGAGAAGGUAAAGCAAGUCCGCUGUCAGCUGUCGUGGAAGCGCCGGCCUGGAGUGGUGAAGCGCUACCGCGAGAAGACGGGCCGGUACCCGGCUCGCUCAGAGAAGGAGUCGUUCGUGCUCAACGGCAUUGGCAUCGCCUUCCCCUACACGUUUCAGGUGACAAGCUUCCACAUUGACCCGAAGAAGGGGGACGAGUUCAACAUUCUUAAGUACGUCCGGCUCGUGGACUUCGACGACUUUGGGGAGCUGUUUGUGCGCCGCCUCUUCGAGAAGCCGCCGCGGGCGGCCGUGUCGAUGAUGGUCCAGUCGCUGAAGGAGAAGUACUCGAGCGGCGAGGCACUAGCGACGCUGCAGGACUCUGUGCAGAAGGUGGUCGAUGCAUGCGGUGGGCUGGCGUCGUCGCUGGGCAGCCUGACUGUGGAGCAGACUUCCUACAAGGCCGUCUACGCCCCAGUCCCAGAGGAGGCGGAACCUCUGCCAGGCGAGCCCCAGACAGAGAAUGAGGAUGGCCGAAAGGCACCGGCGAUCGACGGCGUGGACAUGGAGUACCUCGUGGAAGGGGUCACGCGCAACGUCGAGGCGUACCUCCGCCUUACCUUCUCCGGACUGAAGGCGCUGGUCACUCGGUACGAGCUGCGGCUGCUGCCAGACGAGCUGGCGCAGGUGGUGGUGGACCAUGACACGGGCAAAUCGAUCAUUGUCGGGUAGAGGCUGUCCCCCGGUCCGCCUGUCAGUUCGUCUCUCUCCGUGGGUGUGCCUGCGCCUUCCUCUCUCACUCCUCUACACAUGAACUGCUCAGCCACCCCACGGCUGUUUCCAGCUUGGCAGUCCCUCUGUAAACCGCGCUUGAGCCAUUGGUCUCCAGAUGACCUUCAAGCCAGUAACCCCCUCCCCCAAAGAAGAAAUAUAGGUGUGGCCUUCUUCUAAUGUUGCCCGCUGCCCUCACGUAAGUGUUCAUGUCUGUGGGUGCAUGUCUUUGUGGACUCCCGCGCGAGCACCGCCCUCCUUCUCG